CCUUCUACUCUCUCCACGAUCCCCUCCCCUCCCACCUCGCCGAGCCUCGAUCUGGCCGGAUCUUGCCAAUCCACACACGGACCUGGCCUAACCAUCCCGCAGCUGGAACCACCAACCCAUCUUGAGAUCUCAAUGGCGGCGGGUACCAAGAACCGAUGCUGCACCAACCGUGUGCGUCACAAGGAGGGCGAGUGUGGUUGCUGCCGGAGCAGUGAACGCUGCGCUUGGCGCUGGAGCAGCGGGGGCUGGGUGGGCCGCGACACUUGAUUGGGUCGUUUCCAACUGCCCCGGCGUCGGCAGCGAUGAGACGGUGCGCCAGCAGACAUGAUCGUUCACGCGCAAGGACCCCAUGAAUCCCGUGUACGCGGCCAAGGUGACCACGUCGCUCGCAGCUCCAUCUGGGCUAUCCUCACUGUCAUCGUCGCUUUCGGCUGGUCUCUUUAUUUUCUUUCUGAACACUAUCAAUUGAUGAAGUUGUUUUCUCAAAUUGAUGUCUGAAUGUGCCAAAUCUGCUGCUCUGUAGGUGCCAGUGUCGAUGACAUAAUUUAUCAAUGGUGGGUUCAGUAGUAACUCAAAUCUGUUUCUCUGAAUGUGCCAGCGUGUGAUGGAAUUUAUCAUUGCUGCUGAGCUCUCUUUACUUUGGGCACUAUUUACCAGCAUCUCAAUCCCGACCUAGCAGGUCUUCUUACUGGCAUCAACAGGUACCACUCUCUCCCCUUCUCCUCUAGAAAAAUGCAUGAAUAGAGAAUUCACAGCAAACUGGACAAGAUCAGUAUACUAGCAUCGUUACACUAUUAAUUACGAAAUACUGCAAGGUGGAUAUGGUUCUUAUAGUAUCAUCAACUAUUCAUUAUAUUAUUGUCCUAUGCAGCUGCAUUUGAUAAUAAUUGCCUUGUGUUUAGGAACGGAAGGAGUACUUUGUUACAUUGGAUCUCUUGGUGGUUAAUUUCCCCCAUUCUGGAGGAUUCAUGCUUAUUCACUACCCUUUUGUAUGCAUGGUUGAUUGCAUGCAUUAUCUUUUGCUUCCCGCCUGCAAUGGUUGUUCAAUAGAUUUUCUAUGUUCCAUUCAACAUGCACAUUAACUUGUUGACAUGUUUGGGCCAAACAAUAUGGAACAUGGAGGGUGUCUUGUCCUGAGACCCGAGCCAUUCACAUGUAUUGUAACGCUUUCCCUUACCUUUGGUGCAUCAUGCCAAUGUAUUUCUUUUUAUUAAUUCCCCAACUGCUAAUGAGUUACCUAAAGUUGAAUCUAUAUUGAAUACUCAUUUACUUUAAUAACUUGGUCAAUACUUGAUGUGCGCCUAGACAAGUGUUGCUACACAUUGGAAUCUUAAAUUUUAUUUCAGGGUGGCAUUUGUAUUCUUUAUCUGGAAAUAAUACUUGCUUGUUAACCUCUGUUGUAUUGUCAUGAUAGUCGUUGUUAAGCUACAAUGAGAACAUUUUGUCCAACAUUUGUCCUAUAGUGGGUGAUUGUCUUGUGAAAAAUACCUCUGUACUGUACUGUCAUGACACUUUGGUUGGCUUAUCAUAAUUGUAGUUGUUUCCUUAUGACAGUAUAUGCGUCUUACAACAAAGAUGUUUCAAUUCAAUUGCUAUGUGGUCUGCAUGUUCUUCUCAUGUGUGAUCUUUCUUGAUCCCAGGAUAUUCUGCAAUCCAGAAGAACUGGCUACUCAGAAGUGGAUGACAGUGAACAGGAGAAGCUAUGGUUUCCUGAUUCGUUUUUAUGUGUACGUGUUGUCAUGAAGCAUAGUGGUUCUGGCUUUGUGUAAAAUCAUUAUAAGUAUAGUACCUCUUUAGAGGAGUUUAACGAUGAACUGUGUAUGUGAUUCAUGUACCUGAAGUAUCCACUAUGAUGCCUAUUGCUUAAAACAAUAUAACUAUUUACUG
This is a long non-coding RNA of Triticum aestivum (bread wheat), 1887 nucleotides long. RefSeq lists it as uncharacterized. The record is from RefSeq and is a predicted model, not a curated record. Lineage: Eukaryota; Viridiplantae; Streptophyta; Magnoliopsida; Poales; Poaceae. The transcript has 2 exons.